RNAcentral lists this ribosomal RNA (905 nucleotides) under uncultured Actinomycetes bacterium. RNAcentral describes it as "bacterial SSU rRNA". It matches the Rfam family "Bacterial small subunit ribosomal RNA", at positions 496 to 1402 of the family's 1533-position model. The record is from RNAcentral. Lineage: Bacteria; Bacillati; Actinomycetota; Actinomycetes.
GAAUUCGAUUGUUUCAGCAGCCGCGGUAAUACAUAGGGUGCAAGCGUUGUCCGGAUUUAUUGGGCGUAAAGAACUCGUAGGUGGUUUGUUACGUCGGAUGUGAAACUCUGGGGCUCAACCCCAGACCUGCAUCCGAUACGGGCAGACUAGAGUGUGGUAGGGGAGACUGGAAUUCCUGGUGUAGCGGUGGAAUGCGCAGAUAUCAGGAGGAACACCAAUGGCGAAGGCAGGUCUCUGGGCCAUUACUGACACUGAGGAGUGAAAGUGUGGGGAGCGAACAGGAUUAGAUACCCUGGUAGUCCACACCGUAAACGAUGGACGCUAGUUGUGGGGACCUUCCACGGUUUCUGCGACGCAGCUAACGCAUUAAGCGUCCCGCCUGGGGAGUACGAUCGCAAGAUUAAAACUCAAAGGAAUUGACUGGGCCCCGCACAAGCAGCGGAGCAUGCGGCUUAAUUCGACGCAACGCGAAGAACCUUACCAAGGCUUGACAUAUAGGGAAAAGCAGCAGAGAUGUUGUGUCCGCAAGGGCCCUAUACAGGUGGUGCAUGGUUGUCGUCAGCUCGUGUCGUGAGAUGUUGGGUUAAGUCCCGCAACAAGCGCAACCCUCAUUCUGUGUUGCCAGCAUUUAGUUGGGGACUCACAGGAGACUGCCGUGGUUAACACGGAGGAAGGUGGGGAUGACGUCAAAUCAUCAUGCCCCUUAUGUCUUGGGCUGCACGCAUGCUACAAUGGCUGGUACAAACGGCUGCAAUACCGCAAGGUUGAGCGAAUCCGAAAAAGCCAGUCUCAGUUCGGAUUGGGGUCUGCAACUCGACCCCAUGAAGUCGGAGUUGCUAGUAAUCGUAGAUCAGCAACGCUACGGUGAAUACGUUCCCGGGGCUUGUACACACCGCCCGUCAAAC